UUAUUGGAGAGUUUGAUCCUGGCUCAGGACGAACGCUGGCGGCGUGCCUAAUACAUGCAAGUCGAGCGGAGCUGAUGAGGUGCUUGCACCUCAGAUGCUUAGCGGCGGACGGGUGAGUAACACGUAGGCAACCUGCCCUCAAGACUGGGAUAACUACCGGAAACGGUAGCUAAUACCGGAUAAUUUAUUUCGCCGCAUGGCGGAAUAAUGAAAGACGGAGCAAUCUGUCACUUGAGGAUGGGCCUGCGGCGCAUUAGCUAGUUGGUGGGGUAACG
This is a non-coding RNA of Paenibacillus sp. DMB20, 275 nucleotides long. The record is from Rfam. NCBI's taxonomy places the organism in Bacteria, Bacillati, Bacillota, Bacilli, Caryophanales, Paenibacillaceae.